Molecule: long non-coding RNA, 238 nt
Filed under: Homo sapiens (human)
Lineage: Eukaryota; Metazoa; Chordata; Mammalia; Primates; Hominidae
Description: non-protein coding LINC01365:6
Source: RNAcentral
UUUCUGGGAGAAUAACAAAAAGAAGGAAGAUUCAGUAGGAAAGGAAAGCAAUGAAGAAGCCAAGAAAGAGACAAGGAACCCCGGAAAGAGAGUCAGCAAAGAGAGAAAUAGAAACAUUAAUUUCAGGUGAAGAAACUGAAGACUUUAGCCAGAGCCAAGUGGCUAAUUCAGAGUUUAAUACACCUUUGACCUCAAACCCUUUGUGGUCACCUUUGAACAGUGCCUCCCUCUCUGAAAU